Molecule: long non-coding RNA, 1742 nt
Organism: Pogoniulus pusillus (Red-fronted tinkerbird)
Lineage: Eukaryota; Metazoa; Chordata; Aves; Piciformes; Lybiidae
Exons: 3
Source: RefSeq, a predicted model, not a curated record
CCAACUGGGCGGAGGAUCCUCCUCCAGUCACCACUGUGUGGGAGUCCAGGUCCCUGCCACAUAACUGCAGUGCUUUACUGAGCAUGUCAACAUCACUUCAUAGGAAUUGCUGAUUAUUAUCCAUCUUUCAGGAACUUCCCAGCCUAUGCUCGUACAAAUUUCAAUGGUUUUAGUAAAGGCAAGAAGCUGUGUGUGGUCUGGGUUGCCUUUGACAGUCUACAGAGCUGCAAAUAAUCUAUACCCUCUCUGUCAGUCCAUGCAGUUAAAUGUAGCUAGAAAUUAUUACAGCUCUGAACCUUCAAAGCAUGGACUCCAACACAAAAGAAACUUGCAAAAUCUCUACAAUCUUAUCAUUGAUUUCUCUGAUGCCUUCCAGUCACUAAAACCUAACAAACACUAGGCAUCCACACAAGGAACAUCCCAACCAAGAAUUCCAAAUGCAGCCUGCCAUGUCUGUGAUUCCUAAUGAAGGUGUGAACCAAGAAGACAGGCUUUCUGCACCCAUGAGCAGUUACUAUUUAUAGCUGUAGCUAAUGAACCAAAACAAGUGGAAACCUGUUAGUAAGGCCCUAACUUCAGAUGCUUUGCUUCAGCUGAGGUAGAACACAAGAAAUAAAGCUCUUUCAGCUCGAUCAACAGGCUCAAGGCAUUUCCUAAAGCAGAUGCUGCCAACUGCCAUUGAGCUGGUCAAGCUCCCUGAGGCUGUGGGAGACUUUCGGCGUAGGGGAUUUUUAGCCAAGCCUUUAUUCUCAAUCCUAAAUGCAAUCAAGUCUCAAAGAAAAGGUUCAGACAAGCCUUCAAGCAGCAUGGCAUCCAGCCAAAGGCCUCUCUUCAGACCAAGACAUGACUUCAGACAUGAUUUCUUACUAGCAAUAUUAUGACAGUGCCGAGAGGCCCUCAGAGAGACUGCAGGUGCACACUCAGCCUAAAAUGCACACAUGAAAAGGUAAUAUGGGUGAAAUAUUUGCACCUUGAAGAGUUAAAAGAAAAUGUUUGCCUAGUGCACUACAGAGUCAUUUCUCUUUAGCCCUCAAUCUUGAAAGUCUUCAGUUUAUGCCCCCCAAGUCUUCUACUCUGUUACUUGAUUCAGUACAGGGAUCAUCUUUAAAUAGUAGCACACAACUCUCUGCUGUCUCCUGACAGCAAACUUCUGUUUCAGUGUUAGGAAAAAGCCAGCCCUUGCUCUGCACAACACUGAGUAUGUUAAUACCCUCACUGGUAGGGAACACAUGAAGACAUUUUUCCUGAAAACUAAAGUUAUAAAGGGAGGCAAAGAGAUUUACUCCUUUUUUUUGACUAACCAGUCAGGUGUAAGAAGGUAACACACACACACUAUUAAAGAGAACUUUCUGUCUAAUACUGAAAUAAUUAAGAACAUUGAUGACACCUUGUCUGAAUAGACAUAAGCAAAAUGGGCUUGGAGAUAAAAGAAUAACACUGCACUGUCAGAAAAAAAAUGUAGAGAAGACUGAAUAAGAAAUCAAGGCUUCCUCAGGAGUUUGGAACUGAGCUGAGGCACAUGGUGGGAUGGGAGUUUUCUCUCAUCAGAGGGGUAACUGAUGGAGGCUCAUGGACAGGCUUUUUCUAAGAGAUGUGACCUGAAAGAUAAGCUGUGUGCAAACAAGAAAGUCUUGACAGAUCAAGACCUUCCUACUACAAGCUCGGUAUAAAUAGAUGAAGCAUUUUUGCCUUUUCUUUUUGUCUCUAUCUUGCAUAAGUGUUUCUAAAUGUGUUGCCUAUUU